AGAGUUUGAUCCUGGCUCAGGACGAACGCUGGCGGCGUGCUUAACACAUGCAAGUCGAGCGAUGAAGUUUCUUCGGAAAUGGAUUAGCGGCGAACGGGUGAGGAACACGUGAAGAAUCUGCCCUCCACUUUGGGAUAACACAGGGAAACCUGUGCUAAUACCGAAUAUUGAAACAUAAGUGGCAUCACUGAGUUUUGAAAGAAUUUCGGUGGAGGAUGACUUCGCGGCCUAUCAGCUAGUUGGUGAGGUAAUGGCUCACCAAGGCAACGACGGGUAGCCGGCCUGAGAGGGCGACCGGCCACACUGGGACUGAGACACGGCCCAGACUCCUACGGGAGGCAGCAGUGGGGAAUAUUGGGCAAUGGAGGAAACUCUGACCCAGCGACGCCGCGUGCGGGAUGAAGGCCUUCGGGUUGUAAACCGCUUUCAGUAGGGAAGAAGCGAAAGUGACGGUACCUACAAAAGAAGCACCGGCUAACUAUGUGCCAGCAGCCGCGGUAAUACAUAGGGUGCAAGCGUUGUCCGGAAUUAUUGGGCGUAAAGAGCUCGUAGGUCGUUUGUUACGUCGGAUGUGAAAACCUGAGGCUCAACCUCAGGCCUGCAUUCGAUACGGGCAAACUAGAGUUUGGUAGGGGAGACUGGAAUUCCUGGUGUAGCGGUGGAAUGCGCAGAUAUCAGGAGGAACACCAAUGGCGAAGGCAGGUCUCUGGGCCAAUACUGACACUGAGGAGCGAAAGUCUGGGGAGCGAACAGGAUUAGAUACCCUGGUAGUCCAGACCGUAAACGGUGGGCACUAGUUGUGGGGACCUUCCACGGUUUCUGCGACGCAGCUAACGCAUUAAGUGCCCCGCCUGGGGAGUACGAUCGCAAGAUUAAAACUCAAAGGAAUUGACGGGGCCCCGCACAAGCAGCGGAGCAUGCGGCUUAAUUCGACGCAACGCGAGGA
This 946-nucleotide ribosomal RNA is filed under the name uncultured Actinomycetes bacterium. RNAcentral's name for it is "bacterial SSU rRNA". It matches the Rfam family "Bacterial small subunit ribosomal RNA", at positions 8 to 967 of the family's 1533-position model. Lineage: Bacteria; Bacillati; Actinomycetota; Actinomycetes. The record is from RNAcentral.